CCUAUGGGAGGCUGCAGUGGGGAAUAUUGGACAAUGGGGGCAACCCUGAUCCAGCCAUGCCGCGUGUGUGAAGAAGGCCCUCGGGUUGUAAAGCACUUUCAGUGAGGAAGAACGCCUGGUGGUUAAUACCCAUCAGGAAAGACAUCACUCACAGAAGAAGCACCGGCUAACUCCGUGCCAGCAGCCGCGGUAAUACGGAGGGUGCGAGCGUUAAUCGGAAUUACUGGGCGUAAAGCGCGCGUAGGUGGCUUGAUAAGCCGGUUGUGAAAGCCCCGGGCUCAACCUGGGAACGGCAUCCGGAACUGUCAAGCUAGAGUGCAGGAGAGGAAGGUAGAAUUCCCGGUGUAGCGGUGAAAUGCGUAGAGAUCGGGAGGAAUACCAGUGGCGAAGGCGGCCUUCUGGACUGACACUGACACUGAGGUGCGAAAGCGUGGGUAGCAAACAGGAUUAGAUACCCCGGUAGUC
RNAcentral lists this ribosomal RNA (465 nucleotides) under Vreelandella stevensii. RNAcentral's name for it is "partial 16S ribosomal RNA". It matches the Rfam family "Bacterial small subunit ribosomal RNA", at positions 338 to 795 of the family's 1533-position model. Lineage: Bacteria; Pseudomonadati; Pseudomonadota; Gammaproteobacteria; Oceanospirillales; Halomonadaceae. The record is from RNAcentral.